AAUGGGUCAGCGACUUAUAUUCUGUAGCAAGGUUAACCGAAUAGGGGAGCCGAAGGGAAACCGAGUCUUAACUGGGCGUUAAGUUGCAGGGUAUAGACCCGAAACCCGGUGAUCUAGCCAUGGGCAGGUUGAAGGUUGGGUAACACUAACUGGAGGACCGAACCGACUAAUGUUGAAAAAUUAGCGGAUGACUUGUGGCUGGGGGUGAAAGGCCAAUCAAACCGGGAGAUAGCUGGUUCUCCCCGAAAGCUAUUUAGGUAGCGCCUCGUGAACUCAUCUCCGGGGGUAGAGCACUGUUUCGGCAAGGGGGUCAUCCCGACUUACCAACCCGAUGCAAACUGCGAAUACCGGAGAAUGUUAUCACGGGAGACACACGGCGGGUGCUAACGUCCGUCGUGAAGAGGGAAACAACCCAGACCGCCAGCUAAGGUCCCAAAGUCAUGGUUAAGUGGGAAACGAUGUGGGAAGGCCCAGACAGCCAGGAUGUUGGCUUAGAAGCAGCCAUCAUUUAAAGAAAGCGUAAUAGCUCACUGGUCGAGUCGGCCUGCGCGGAAGAUGUAACGGGGCUAAACCAUGCACCGAAGCUGCGGCAGCGACGCUUAUGCGUUGUUGGGUAGGGGAGCGUUCUGUAAGCCUGUGAAGGUGUGCUGUGAGGCAUGCUGGAGGUAUCAGAAGUGCGAAUGCUGACAUAAGUAACGAUAAAGCGGGUGAAAAGCCCGCUCGCCGGAAGACCAAGGGUUCCUGUCCAACGUUAAUCGGGGCAGGGUGAGUCGACCCCUAAGGCGAGGCCGAAAGGCGUAGUCGAUGGGAAACAGGUUAAUAUUCCUGUACUUGGUGUUACUGCGAAGGGGGGACGGAGAAGGCUAUGUUGGCCGGGCGACGGUUGUCCCGGUUUAAGCGUGUAGGCUGGUUUUCCAGGCAAAUCCGGAAAAUCAAGGCUGAGGCGUGAUGACGAGGCACUACGGUGCUGAAGCAACAAAUGCCCUGCUUCCAGGAAAAGCCUCUAAGCAUCAGGUAACAUCAAAUCGUACCCCAAACCGACACAGGUGGUCAGGUAGAGAAUACCAAGGCGCUUGAGAGAACUCGGGUGAAGGAACUAGGCAAAAUGGUGCCGUAACUUCGGGAGAAGGCACGCUGAUAUGUAGGUGAAGCGACUUGCUCGUGGAGCUGAAAUCAGUCGAAGAUACCAGCUGGCUGCAACUGUUUAUUAAAAACACAGCACUGUGCAAACACGAAAGUGGACGUAUACGGUGUGACGCCUGCCCGGUGCCGGAAGGUUAAUUGAUGGGGU
Molecule: ribosomal RNA, 1291 nt
Filed under: Escherichia coli
Lineage: Bacteria; Pseudomonadati; Pseudomonadota; Gammaproteobacteria; Enterobacterales; Enterobacteriaceae
Description: partial 23S ribosomal RNA
Rfam family: Bacterial large subunit ribosomal RNA
Source: RNAcentral